CUGCUCUUUACCUAUAGACCGGAUGGCCUGGUACUGGUCUUCUCUAGACUGAAGGUCCUCCACCAGGUCUCCUGCUGCUGCUACCUAAGAAAGAAAUCUCACAAGGGUGUUAAAAGCACUUGGCCCUAAAGAGAAAACACUAGGAGGAUGGGAACCAGGGACAGAGAAGCUACUUGCUCUGCAGCUGUUUGGGCCAAUGAUCCAAUGGCCCCAUCUAGACUGGAGACACCAACUCAUGACUCAGCUGGCCUUGUGGCCCACACCCAGAAGUGGACUCAGUGCAUGAGGACUAUUUUCCACACUCCUAUGAUAGCAUCCCCAACCAAUCAGCAGGACCAUUUCCUAGCCCCUUGCCCACCAAACUAUCUUUUAAAAAACCUGGCUGGGCGCAGUGGCUCACACCUGCAAUCCCAGCACUUUGGGAGUCUGAGGUGGGUGGAUCACGAGGUCAGGAGUUCAAGACCAGCCUGGCUAAGAUGGUGAAACCCUGUCUCUACUAAAAAUACAAAAAAAAUUAGCCGGGCAUGGUGGCAGGCACCUGUAAUCCCAGCUACUUGGGAGGUUGAGGCAGAGAAUUGCUUGAACCCAGAGGCGGAGGUUACAGUGAGCCGAGAUCACUCCACUGCACUCCAGCCUGGAUAACAGAGCAAGACUCUGUCUCAAGGAAAAAAAAAAACAACCUAGCCUCCACAUUUUCAGAGAGGCUCGUUUGAGUAAUAAUAAAACUCUGGUCUCCCAUUUAGCUGGCUCUUCUUGUAUUAAACUCUUUUUCUAUUGCAAUAACCCUGUCUUGAUAAAUUAGCUUCAUCUGGGAAGCAGGCAAGAAGAACUUAUUGGAUGGUUAUAUAGUGGGCUUCUAGCAUGGCCUAGAGAUGCAGAGGCCAUGGCAGAUAAAGCCAACUUCCUCCAACUGAGUAGAGGACUCAGGGGCCCAGAGGAGUCAGAAGGGGAGAUGGGAGCCAAGGAUGAGGAAGAACUCCUGGAAAGGCCUGAGAAAGAAGGACCCUAAGUUUAGCAUCUUAGGUCCCGAAAAAUGGCUGAAGGAGAGGAAAAGAUGGAGAGAAAGAGUAUUGUGACAUGAACCUGCCCCUGUGCCUCGAGUUCCUGGGAGUUUCUUGUUAGCUUCUGUGUCCUGUUUUUCUGUAUCCUCUGCAAAGG
Molecule: long non-coding RNA, 1158 nt
Filed under: Homo sapiens (human)
Lineage: Eukaryota; Metazoa; Chordata; Mammalia; Primates; Hominidae
Description: non-protein coding LINC01186:9
Source: RNAcentral